This 440-nucleotide ribosomal RNA is filed under the name uncultured bacterium. RNAcentral describes it as "partial 16S ribosomal RNA". It matches the Rfam family "Bacterial small subunit ribosomal RNA", at positions 338 to 795 of the family's 1533-position model. The record is from RNAcentral.
CCUACGGGUGGCAGCAGUGGGGAAUAUUGCACAAUGGCGGAAACCCUGAUGCAGCGACGCCGCGUGAGUGAAGAAGUAUUUCGGUAUGUAAAGCUCUAUCAGCAGGGAAGAAAAUGACGGUACCUGAGGAAGAAGCCGCGGGUAACUACGGGCCACCAGCAGCGGUAAUACGUAGGGGGCAGGCGUUAUCCGGAGGUAGUGGGUGUAAAGGGGGCUUAGACGGGAGCACAAGUCUGGAGGGAAAAGUCGGGGCUUAACCCCGGACGUGCCUUGGAAACUGGGCAGCUAGAGUGAAGGAGAGGUAAGUGGAAUUCGUGGUGUAGCGGUGAAAUGCGUAGAUAUUAGGAGGAACACCAGUGGCGAAGGCGGCUUACUGGACUGUAACUGACGUUGAGGCUCGAAAGCGUGGGGAGCAAACAGGAUUAGAUACCCGGGUAGUC